This is a long non-coding RNA of Sceloporus undulatus (fence lizard), 1882 nucleotides long. RefSeq lists it as uncharacterized. The record is from RefSeq and is a predicted model, not a curated record. NCBI's taxonomy places the organism in Eukaryota, Metazoa, Chordata, Lepidosauria, Squamata, Phrynosomatidae. The transcript is spliced from 3 exons.
GACGCCCGCCGCGCUCCUCCAAGUCCUCCUCCUUGGCUUCAGGAAGCCUUGGCACUUCCACCGAAGAAGACAUGCUGGCACCAAGGUGGCACAGGCGGGGGGAUGGGCCUUCCCGGGACUUCCCUCCUCCACCGGGCAAAGGAAGGUGUUUCCAAUUUUCCAGUGUCCUGAAAUUUCCUAUAGUUUGCUUUCUCCAUUGUAGGGAUGACAUAUCUCUCAGUGAUGCCACCUGCUCUGGCAGCCUAUGGUUCGAGCGGCAGGGGAGGGACAUCUUCUCUUCUUCGAGCUGAGGAAUCCCCUCUCUUCUUAUAUCAUAGUUGUAUACAAGUGUGUCUGUGUAUAUGUUCAAGAGCAAGCAAACUAUUAGGAUCUAUACUAUUAUUUUCAAUCUGUAUUGCAUCUUAUUCUGAAAAGAUGAAGAAAAUCACAUAAAUGUAACUGCAGCUUCGUUAGGCUAGAAAAGGUUGGAACAUGAGUCAGUCAGGUAAAGACUAUGGGUAGGUCUACACUGACCAGAAUACUCCAGUAGUGGUCUGGAGCAUUCUGGUCCUGAACCUGCCUGAAUCUCCUCUGUUACCUGGGCACUGCAGAGUGUCAUCAGGUAGCUGUUUACACAGCAUCCCACUGUGCCACCUGCUGCCAAUGCCACCAGUGUGAGUUGCUUUCUCUGAAGCCUGGCUAGGUGCCUCAUUGUGCCCUCAGAGCAGUGAUUUGUGGUGCCUGUUGUGCAUCAGGACGCACAGCAGGACAUUGUGUAAACAGCUGCCCAGCAUCAGUCCAGAAGGCUCCAGUUUUUCAGGUAAGAUCUGGAGUGUACGGUGAGGUUAUUAGAACAUAGUUUUAGGGAAGAAUGACCCAGAUUUGCUGCUGGACUGGCCUUCCUACAUGAAGACAGUCUACAAUCAAACCAAGCCUUUGGCCUUGUGUCAUGUAGACAUGGUGACGCAGGUCGGGGGGAGGGGGGACUGAGCCAUUUGGCCCAUGUUGAUAUGCUCUGUUUCUCAAAGGCACAUUUGGUGAGGGCACAAGAGAGGAAGUGAUGUCAUUGGGGAGAUGCCAGAGGUGCAGAAGAGGGGUGACACCCAGUUAGGUGACACUCAGAGGAGGGGCAAAUGCACAUCCUUCCUGGUAUCUCCAUCCCUGUCCCCAGGCUUCCUCCCAGGAGAGAAAGCCUGGGGAUAGGUGAGAUGGGUGAGUAGGAGGGGCACACCCAUGCCCUUGCCAGCUGCAGUGUCCCCAGGCUUUUUGCCAGGGGAGAAAGCCCAGGGAUCAGGGAGCAGGAGGAGCAUAUGCACACCCUUUCCAGCUGCUCUGUCCCUGCCUCCCACAGGAGAAUGCCCAGGAAUGGGAAACAGUAGGGGCGCAUGUGGACCCUUCCCACACCAGGUGGCACCAUAGUUAGUGAUGCCACUGAAGAGAGGUCCCUCUUGGACCUCUUGGUGGCCAUUCCUAAACUAUAGAAAUCCCUCCUAUAGGAGGCCGGGGUGGGCCCUUCUCUGCUCUCUUUCCACAUGCAGGCAAAGAUUUUUCUGGCCUUUUACUGGUUGUUAUGGUUGUUGCUUUUAAUACUUUUGUUUUUUCCUCAUGUGCUUUGAAACUCCUCUAAAUGUUGUACUAUUAUUUAAUAUGAUAGCCUAUUUCAUUGUUUUAAGUUUUUUAACUAUCAUGAUUGAUUUUAGCUGUACUCUGGUUUUAAACUGGGGGAAAGGCAGGCCAUAAAUAAAAUAAACAAAUAACAGUAAAGAAUAAUAGAUUGUUCAGAGUCCUGUCUUUAAGUCUUGAGCCUCUAAACCGUAGAGGAGCAUAUCACUAUUGUAGAUGCAACAACCAAGUGAAACCUGCACUCAGGUUAAGAGAUCUUUAAAUCAAGGCCCAAUGAAUA